UACAGGGGGUGCAAACGUUGCUCGGAAUUAUUGGGCGUAAAGCGCGCGUAGGCGGCCGCUUAAGUCGGAUGUGAAAGCCCCUGGCUCAACUGGGGAAGUGCACCCGAAACUGAAUGGCUUGAAUACAAAAGAGGGUCGCGGAAUUCCCGGUGUAGAGGUGAAAUUCGUAGAUAUCGGGAGGAACACCGGUGGCGAAGGCGGCGACCUGGGUUGAUAUUGACGCUGAGGCGCGAAAGCGUGGGGAGCAAACAGGAUUAGAAACCCCCGUAGUCC
Molecule: ribosomal RNA, 273 nt
Filed under: uncultured bacterium
Lineage: Bacteria
Description: partial 16S ribosomal RNA
Rfam family: Bacterial small subunit ribosomal RNA
Source: RNAcentral